This 393-nucleotide ribosomal RNA is filed under the name uncultured bacterium. RNAcentral's name for it is "bacterial SSU rRNA". It matches the Rfam family "Bacterial small subunit ribosomal RNA", at positions 30 to 417 of the family's 1533-position model. The record is from RNAcentral.
AGUGAACGCUGGCGGCAGGCCUAACACAUGCAAGUCGAGCGGCAGCACGGCAAUAGCAAUAUUGUGGGUGGCGAGCGGCGGACGGGUGAGGAAUGCAUCGGGAUCUACCCUGUCGUGGGGGACAACGUAGGGAAACUUACGCUAAUACCGCAUGAUCUGGAGACAGCAAAGCCGGGGACCUUCGGGCCUGGCGCGAUGGGAUGAGCCGAUGUCCGAUUAGCUAGUUGGCGGGGUAAAGGCCCACCAAGGCGACGAUCGGUAGCUGGUCUGAGAGGACGACCAGCCACACUGGAACUGAGACACGGUCCAGACUCCUACGGGAGGCAGCAGUGGGGAAUAUUGGACAAUGGGGGCAACCCUGAUCCAACCAUGCCGCGUGGGUGAAGAAGGCCU